RNAcentral lists this non-coding RNA (32 nucleotides) under Sus scrofa (pig). RNAcentral also lists the same sequence under 1 other name. The record is from RNAcentral. Lineage: Eukaryota; Metazoa; Chordata; Mammalia; Artiodactyla; Suidae.
GGCCCCAUGGUGUAAUGGUUAGCACUCUGGAC